This 775-nucleotide ribosomal RNA is filed under the name uncultured Neocallimastigales. Its description in RNAcentral is "partial large subunit ribosomal RNA". It matches the Rfam family "Eukaryotic large subunit ribosomal RNA", at positions 23 to 632 of the family's 3401-position model. Lineage: Eukaryota; Fungi; Neocallimastigomycota; Neocallimastigomycetes; Neocallimastigales. The record is from RNAcentral.
AGAGAUGUGUGAUGACGCAUAUCAAUAAGCGGAGGAAAAGAAACUAACAAGGAUUCCCUUAGUAACGGCGAGUGAAGCGGGAAGAGCUCAAAUUUGAAAUCUUCAAGGUUUUACCUUGACGAAUUGUAGUUUAUAGAAGUGUUUUCUGUUAGUGGAGUGGCAAAAGUUCUUUGGAAUAGGACAUCAUAGAGGGUGAGAAUCCCGUAUUUGACCGUUACUUUCCAGCUGUGUGAUACACUUUCAAAGAGUCGGAUUGUUUGGGAAUGCAGUCCAAAAUGGGUGGUAAAUUUCAUCUAAAGCUAAAUAUUGGCGAGAGACCGAUAGCGAACAAGUACCGUGAGGGAAAGAUGAAAAGAACUUUGAAAAGAGAGUUAAACAGUACGUGAAAUUGUCAAAAGGGAAGCGUUUGACACCAGUGUUGUUUAGUUGAAAAUCAAUUCAAUAAUUUUUGAUUUUGAGUAGUAUUGACUUCAUCAGCUUGCUGCUCUCUUUUCGGAAAUUAUUGAAUGCACUUUUCAGUUAACAAGUCAACAUCAAUUUCUUUUGUUGUAAAAGGGUAAGAGGAAGGUGGCUUUCACUUCGGUGAAAGUGUUUAUAGCCUUUGGCUUCUGCAAUCGGAGAGAUUGAGGUCUGCAGCGUAGAUCCUUCGGGGUUAGAUACGUAGAUGCUAAGUUAUAGUUUUUUAUAGACAACUUGUUGACUAUGAUUAAUCAUGUAGCUUACUCGUUUGCGCUAUUUUACCUACGCUUAGGAUGUUGAGUCGUAGAGCACGCAG